CUUUUUGCGGUCUGGGCUUGCUGUUCAUAACUAUUAAUCUGGGAAGCCCUUACCCCAAAAAGCAU
Molecule: microRNA precursor, 65 nt
Organism: Cyclopterus lumpus (lumpfish)
Lineage: Eukaryota; Metazoa; Chordata; Actinopteri; Perciformes; Cyclopteridae
Source: Ensembl